Molecule: ribosomal RNA, 1476 nt
Filed under: metagenome
Description: bacterial LSU rRNA
Rfam family: Bacterial large subunit ribosomal RNA
Source: RNAcentral
CGCAAAUGGGUUAAUAUUCCCAUACUUGUUGUAACUACGAAGCAGGGACGGAGAAGGCGGUUGACUGCGAGCUGAUGGAAUAGCUCGUUAAAGAGAGGAUGUUAGGUUUGUAGUGAAGUACGCAGACUAUAGGAAUCUCGAAAGUACUAGAGUCCUUUUGGGGAUGAUAGAUAAUGUCAUUAGUCAUGCUUCCAAGAAAAGCUGCUAAGUGGUAGGUUACAACAACUCGUACCUUAAACCGACACAGGUGGUCGAGGAGAGUAUCCUAAGGUGCACGAGAGAAUCAUGGCUAAGGAACUAGGCAAAAUCGGCGCGUAACUUCGGGAGAAGCGCCGCCUCGUGCGAACGAGGCCGCAGUGAAAAGGCCCAGGCGACUGUUUAGCAAAAACACAGGACUCUGCGAAGCUGAAAGGCAAAGUAUAGGGUCUGACACCUGCCCGGUGCUGGAAGGUUAAGGAAGGGGGUUAGCAGUAAUGCGAAGCUCUUGACUGAAGCCCCAGUAAACGGCGGCCGUAACAAUAACGGUCCUAAGGUAGCGAAAUUCCUUGUCGGGUAAGUUCCGACCUGCACGAAUGGUGUAACGAUCUGGGCACUGUCUCAACCAUGAGCUCGGUGAAAUUGAAGUAUCGGUGAAGAUGCCGAUUACCCGCAACGGGACGAAAAGACCCCGUGCACCUUUACUAUAGCUUAACGUUGUCUUUGAGUAGUUGAUGUGUAGGAUAGGUGGGAGACUGAGAAGUUGUCACGCAAGUGGCGAUGGAGUCGUUGUUGAAAUACCACCCUUCAAUUGCUUAGAGACUAACCCAGAUGGGGACAUCGUUAGGUGGGUAGUUUGACUGGGGUGGUCGCCUCCCAAAGAGUAACGGAGGCUUCCAAAGGUUCCCUCAGCACGCUUGGUAACCGUGCAAAGAGCGUAUAAGUACAAGGGAGCUUGACUGUGAGACAAACAAGUCGAACAGGUACGAAAGUAGGGUUAAGUGAUCCGGUGUUUCUGAAUGGAAGGGACAUCGCUCAAAGGAUAAAAGGUACGCCGGGGAUAACAGGCUGAUCUCCCCCAAGAGCUCACAUCGACGGGGAGGUUUGGCACCUCGAUGUCGGCUCGUCACAUCCUGGGGCUGGAGAAGGUCCCAAGGGUUGGGCUGUUCGCCCAUUAAAGUGGCACGCGAGCUGGGUUCAGAACGUCGCAAGACAGUUCGGUCUCUAUCUGUUGUGGGCGCAGGAAUAUUGAGAAGAUUUGACUCUAGUACGAGAGGACCGAGUUGAACGUACCUCUAGUGUAUCUGUUGUACAGCUGUGUGCAUUGCAGAGUAGCUAUGUAUGGCAUGGAUAAGCGCUGAAAGCAUCUAAGCGCGAAGCCAACUUCAAGAUGAGUAUUCCAUGAAGGGACGUUAAAGAUGAUGACGUAGAUAGGUUGCAGGUGGAAGCGCAGUGAUGUGUUAGGGAGCCGAGCAAUACUAAUGACCCGAACGCUUUCGU